GAUGAACGCUGGCGGCGUGCCUAAUACAUGCAAGUCGAGCGAACAGACGAGGAGCUUGCUCCUUUGACGUUAGCGGCGGACGGGUGAGUAACACGUGGGUAACCUACCUAUAAGACUGGGAUAACUUCGGGAAACCGGAGCUAAUACCGGAUAAUAUUUCGAACCGCAUGGUUCGAUAGUGAAAGAUGGCUUUGCUAUCACUUAUAGAUGGACCUGCGCCGUAUUAGCUAGUUGGUAAGGUAACGGCUUACCAAGGCAACGAUACGUAGCCGACCUGAGAGGGUGAUCGGCCACACUGGAACUGAGACACGGUCCAGACUCCUACGGGAGGCAGCAGUAGGGAAUCUUCCGCAAUGGGCGAAAGCCUGACGGAGCAACGCCGCGUGAGUGAUGAAGGUCUUCGGAUCGUAAAACUCUGUUAUUAGGGAAGAAUAAACGUGUAAGUAACUGUGCACGUCUUGACGGUACCUAAUCAGAAAGCCACGGCUAACUACGUG
This 497-nucleotide ribosomal RNA is filed under the name uncultured bacterium. Its description in RNAcentral is "partial 16S ribosomal RNA". It matches the Rfam family "Bacterial small subunit ribosomal RNA", at positions 28 to 507 of the family's 1533-position model. The record is from RNAcentral.